Pelobates cultripes (western spadefoot toad) is the source of this 403-nucleotide non-coding RNA. NCBI's taxonomy places the organism in Eukaryota, Metazoa, Chordata, Amphibia, Anura, Pelobatidae. The record is from the annotation of a GenBank genome assembly.
GCUCUCUUGGAUCUGGCGGUUCCUGUAUAACAUAUGUGCUGUUUCAUAUGUCAUUUUGCACUUGGACUUUAAUUGAAGAAUUAAAAAAAAAAUCUACACAACUUAAAAAAACAUCACUCACAUCACAGUGGACAAAGAGAACAAUAUGGCCCUGCAUUAGGAUGUGCCUGGGAACACCUGGAAAACCUCUUGUACACACCUACACUUUGGUUACAUUAAUUCUUGUAACUCUUGUUUUGUUAAUUACAGAUUAACAGACAUACAAGGCAGAAUACAGGAUGCAUUUAUUUCAGCAAGAGUCAUUUGCGCCACCUGGUGGUUAUUUGAAAAACAUUGCUAUGGUUUAUGAAUUAUGACAACAACAGGUACUUUGAGUGUAGUGAAGUUGUACCUUGAACUUUCC